RNAcentral lists this ribosomal RNA (119 nucleotides) under Pteropus alecto (black flying fox). RNAcentral also lists the same sequence under 1 other name. Lineage: Eukaryota; Metazoa; Chordata; Mammalia; Chiroptera; Pteropodidae. The record is from RNAcentral.
GUCGUUGGCCAUGCUACCUUGAAUAAGCCUGAUCCCGUCUGACCUGCGAAACUAAGCAAGGUUGGGCCUGGUUAGUACGUGGAUGGGAGACCACCUAGGAAGACCAGAUGCUGAAGGCG